RNAcentral lists this ribosomal RNA (253 nucleotides) under uncultured bacterium. Its description in RNAcentral is "partial 16S ribosomal RNA". It matches the Rfam family "Bacterial small subunit ribosomal RNA", at positions 524 to 776 of the family's 1533-position model. The record is from RNAcentral.
UACGUAGGUGGCAAGCGUUAUCCGGAAUUAUUGGGCGUAAAGAGCGCGCAGGUGGUUAAUUAAGUCUGAUGUGAAAGUCCACGGCUUAACCGUGGAGGGUCAUUGGAAACUGGUUGACUUGAGUGCAGAAGAGGGAAGUGGAAUUCCAUGUGUAGCGGUGAAAUGCGUAGAGAUAUGGAGGAACGCCAGUGGCGAAGGCGGCUUCCUGGUCUGCAACUGACACUGAGGCGCGAAAGCGUGGGGAGCAAACAGG